This is a non-coding RNA of Cyanistes caeruleus (blue tit), 7591 nucleotides long. The record is from RefSeq and is a predicted model, not a curated record. Lineage: Eukaryota; Metazoa; Chordata; Aves; Passeriformes; Paridae.
GAGCAUUUUAUGGAGUAGAUUUUAGAAGAGAAAUUUCUGCUGGAGAUCUCCAAAAAGAGAUGAGGGAUGCCUUCAUAAGAAGAGUAAAGUCAUGCACACUAACUUGCACUGGCACAAGUGCUUUUACAAAGAGUAAAUUGCUCACUGGAAAAAAAUACAGCUAUGACUUUGAAGGUUGUGUUAAAUUACUAAGUUCAGUUGAAAGCUGAUCACAGUCCUUGUAACCUGAUUCUCUACUGCCUUACUGUGUGUGCUCAGGAACUCCACUGAAGAAGAAGGCUUUUGCAAAAAAUAUCAAAAUAUUUAUGUUUCAAGGAGAAUAAGUGCAGGACAAUUUUAAAGGGAAAACAUUUAUUGAAAGGUAAUUCAGGAGAAAGUCAAAUAUAUGAACCCUGUUAUCUAGACCAAUUCUUUGAUUUUUUAACAUUUCUGCCUCUACAGUCAAGCACUGCAGUAGAAUUUUCUUAAUACAGGGAUAGUGUGUGGUGCAAGGACAGAGGAUGGAUUAUUAACCACUUGGUGCACAUUGCCUCUGAAGAUGAGAGAAGCAAAACAGCAUUAUUUGUUCAUUCAUUAGGUAAAUUUAGUCACCAUUACAUUAGUUAUGUUUGCAUUGCUCCUUUUAUCCCACACAAACCAUGGAGAGAUUUCUGUGCUUUCUGGCAGACAAGGAGGUUUUACUAGAAUAGACGCUGUUUAGGAAGGAACAAGUUUUGAAUGAGUACGAGUAUUUAUGUAAAAGAAUCUAGACAGUAUCCAUAAAACACAUUUGGAUCUUAUUUACUUACAUUUGUGCUUUUUUUUUCAAAAGGCCCUUGAUGAAUACACUUAUGCAACAUUCACUGUGCACUGCCUAUAGCCACAUGCCACUGGUGUAGGGUGUUUGAAUGGCAUCCACUUCACACAAUACAGGGAUGCCUUUGGCCCCUAUCUGUAAGUACUCUGGGUGCUUCUGGAAAAUCGUGUGUUGCGUCACUUGCUGCCUCUUGCUGGCACACAGAGAGCUUCUUCUUCUUCUGUCUGAGCCCACACUGACUGAAGAAAUGUCCUGAAGCUGCCGCUUCCACCCAAACCUGCUGUGAAACCUGAGGUGUGUUCCUCAGAGGUAUGAACAUUUCAGUCUGUAUGUGUGCUGGGCCUCUAAUGCCACUACAGAACGGUGUGCAGUCUUGUGGGGAGUUUUUCUCCCUUCUGUGAUUUUGGUCUGUGGCAUAGCACUGUGGGAUGUUCCUUGUCUUUACUCAUAGCAACGCCAAGCAAGUUACUGAAAAGCAGCCAGUUGGUCUAUAGCAGGAAAUUUGCAGCUGAUAGCAGUAGGGGAAAGUUAAGAAAAUCUUGGGAAGGUGAAAGAGUUGGGUUUGAAACUGAUGGUGUUUACAGGAGACGGGAGAGAGCCCUCCUAUACUUUUAGAAAAAACUGGCUUUCUCAAACAACUUUUCUUGAGCAGGAAAGAUGGGAAAGUAAAGCAGCCCUGGAAGAGGGAAGGCUGAGCCUAGGAAAUCCAGGCUGCGCCUAGGAAAUCCAGGCUGCCACAGCACCCAACAGGCUCUGCUUGACUAGGUGUUGAGCUGGAGCACGUCAGUGACUGUGCUACAAUUCUGCAGCUGGAUCCAAACCAGAUGAGGAUCCAGACUUUGGGACAGCUGUCCUGCAGCUCUGCUGCAGGAACAGCACCACUAACACUUGUAGAGGCUCACUCUCCACUUUGGAUUCCCCUAGGGUUUUAGCCAUAGAUGAAACGUAGAGGUGAUUUAUCUUACAGACCAGCCUGAGAAGUGUGGUAGGAAGCUUGCAGAUUCAUCAAGGACUGCUCCAAUCAGUGGUAGGGUAGCAUCUGCCUCAGCCCUCUGAUUCUAGCUACCAUCAUACGUGUGCCAGAGGUCUUUCUUCCUUGAGAGAUUCAGGACCUCCACAAAUUCAAACAUGUCUCCUAUUUGUAGAAGUUAGCCAUUAGCAGGAAAGGCAAUUAGAGUUAGCUAACCAAGAUACUGAAAGAAGCAGGCACUGUACCCAUCCCAUUUAGACAUUACAAAGGAAAUAGCGCAGGCUGCAUUAAAAAUGUGAAAGUCUUGACAGUCUGCAAGCAUCCAGAUCUUAAUCCUGCCCAAACCAACAUAUGGGGCUAAUAUUGUUUAUACGAUUUGCCCUUUGAUCCGUUUCAAGGAUACUCAUGCAAAUCACUGUAUACAUGAUCUCAUCCCAUAUUUAUUACCUUUAAAGCUCGAAAUCUAGGUAUCUCCACCCUGUCAGACAAGUCUGCGAGCUAAUUAAUAAUUUCCAAACACCAGGAACCCCGAGUGCGAUGCUUUCUCAGCGAGGCCGGCUCCUUCCCUGGAAAAGCCGCCGAGCCGGCGCUGGAGGGAGCUGCAGCCCCGGCUACCGCCGCCUCCGCCGGCACCUCCGUUCGCUCCCCAGCACCCCCUGCUCCUCCAGCUCCUCCCAGGAAAAGAUGAGCAUAUUGAAAUUAUUUAAAUUGUAGCUCUCUCUGUCACUUCAGUUCAAGAACGCUGCCUUUUAAAGAAAUCAGAUUAGUUUGUUAACCACAAAGUAAGCGGAGGCUUGCAAAAACAUGCUAAACAAAUGCUAAUUCUGACAGUGGUUUACAAUUUUAUUGGUCACAUGACAAAGGUACAGGAGCUACUUUCUGAAUUAAACAUUAUUACCUCCACCUCAUUUGAACCUUCUUUAGCAUGACAUAUUUUUUCUUAUUUCCAGUUUGAAUAGAAAUCGGAUAAAAUUCUGUGCCUAGUAUCUGCCUCUAUCUCAUUUAAAAAUAAAUUCCGGAUCAGAUGGGACAAAAGUAGUGAGCUAUCUCCCAGCCUUAAUGUCUGUCCCUUGCUAUACCUUGGGGAAGACCAUGCUACUGCUACAUUCUGUUCAAGUGAAAUUAAAUGAAAUUUAGAUUGAAUAACCAACACCAGCUUUCUAGUGAGAAGAAACGGAAACCUUAGUAAAGCUGAAAGGUCACUAAGUGAAUGCUCUUCACUUGGUAAGUUUUUCUCUUGCCAUAUCUUUCUUCCAAUGUUUGCAUAAACUGCAUUAUCACAGACAAAGAAAUGACUCUGAAAAAGCCAUUGCAUUUCUAAAAGACCCAAAGGUCCUGUUCCAUAGCAAGAGGUAAUAUAAUAUUCAAUUAUAUUACCUUAUAUUUGGUAAUACCUUAUUGAGGCAGACAAAAAUGAGUUAAUCAUCAACCUAGAAGAUAAUCUAUAGCUUAGGCACCAGAGCCCAUAAGCUUUUUUCAUUUAGCUGCAACAGCUGUUACACUGCACCAGUGAUGACAAGGAACCCAAAGUGAAAGCAUAAUGAUGCAAAUAAGACAAAACCUCUGAUUACUUCUUCCUUCUCUGUACUAGGAAUGCCCAAGCUGGAUGCAUCCCAUCUGGUGGUGUACCUUCAAUCAAACAUUUGCCAUUUGCCAAAGAGAAAGAUAUAAUUGUCUGCCAAGACAACCCAACUUCCAUGUAAGUGCUUCAGAUCAUUAACAUUUUUUUUAUAAAUGUUUAUAAUUUUAUUUUUUAAAUGAGACUUUUCAAGUACUGGGGGAUAGCCAAAGGGUAAGCAAGAGCAAUAGAUUCAUCUAACGUUAGUCAUAAGGGAAAUAACAUGGAUUAACUUAGGAGGGUUUGAGUGCACCUUGCAUAUGUGCUUCUGGAAUAAAAGGCGCUUUUCUCUCUUGCAAAUGAAGGCAUAUGAUACAGAGACUAAAACAGUAAGCCAAGUUCAAGGUUGACAUAUUUUCAAACUUGCAGCAAGAAUAACAAAUAUAAAUGGACUAGCUUGUUAGCAAUAGUAGAUGAAUUCACAAUCAUUUGGACUGUUUUGGACAGAAUUCUUCAAAUUUAUACCUUCAACUUCAAAGUUCAACUUCGAGGGAAACAAGUGGCUGCAAGAAGGGGAGGUUGGACAAGACUGGGGUCAUCCCCUACAAGCUCUGAGGUUGUGCAGUCUGAUAAUAAUAAUGACUUGUGAGCAAAUGUGGACUUCCAUCUUCCCUAAAGUAUGAUGAGGGCAGGUGGCACAGGAGGGUACCACAGCUCUGGAGUUAGAGGGCGAGGGAGUCCAGAAGCUACAGUGUCUCUAAUUUUUGUGAUUCACAUGGCAAGCGUGGUGAGUUCUCCAACUGAGUUGGCAGAGUAACAGGUGGAUUUCAGUGGCAUCUUGCCUGAGUUCUGCUGAAAGGUCACUGAGAAAGAUGCUUCUUUGUAAAACAUUUCCAUUUCAAUGCAUCAGAUCUUUCUGUUGAAACAGAAUGUUUUGCUGAAAACCUGUUGUGUUGGAAAACUCCCAACCAUUUCUUUUCUCCUACUCCCCUAGAGAGGAAAUGGGCUGUCUCCAGCCUUUGCUUCCUCUUUUGAUGUUUCAGCCAUCCUGUGCUUCCAUUUGUGCCCACUCAGGGUCCAUCUCACAAAGCACACAUCUCUUAAAUGUGUGCUUAAUUAUUUUGUACUGGGAAGUGUAUUAGUUCUUCAAAAGGUAUAAAGAGAAGGAAACAGUACUACUCCAUAAGAAAGACACAGUACAGAUGUGUGAUGGAUACACAUGAAUUUUGCCAUUCAGCAACUGAAUGGGAAAAUUCAGCCUAUCUUUUCUGAAGGACAUGUGUCAUUUCAAUUCCUGAAAUACCAGUUAGCACCAGAGAUGUUUGACACCAUUUGAUUGCCAACAGUAGUAAACCAUUUGAGGAUCAGGGAAAAUCCCGUAACAGCCCAAACCUAUCCCCUAAUGUUACUGAAUUAAACCAGGGGUGAUUUUGGGUAGAGCUGAAUUUGACUUCUGACUGCAGAGAAAAAUGUGACAUCCAAUCAGUAUUUGUCAUGACAAUACUCAGCAGGGAAUUUAGCCCUUUUUAUUUUUUACAUUUGUGUGUCACUCCCAAAUGCCAGUCUGUGAGUGUAUCUGUUACUUGUAAGCAUUUAGUAAUCAUUUGUGACCAAAUGUUAGCGUUUGGUUUGGUUCCAUCUGUCAUACCUAGCUGCAGUCUGUGCCUGGCCACGUCAUUGCACAGAGAUGUGCCAGUGACUUUUCCCCCUUCCUGACAACUCAAACUCUUUGGCUAGAAGAGAUAUAUUUGUGAAGCAUUUUAAAAUGAGGUGUAAAGAAGGCCUUAUUCCAGUUGAAAGGGUCAACAUCCUGCUAAGGCAGUGCUGUUCUUCCAUAAGUACAAGAAAAUCUGUUCAGGGUCACAUCCUGCCUAUGUCCCCCACAGUUAUUCAGGGGUGAUACUGCAGUGUGCAUUGUUUAUCUGAGCCAGCAGCAUGGUGUGCCAGCAUGGGGUCGGGUGCGACUGCAAACUCCUCCGGGAACAGCAAGAACUACAGACCCAGGCAACGUGUACUUGGGCAUGAGCAACAGUUUUCAGUUUAACUUUACCUUUGCCCCUUUCACCAAAAAAUUCAGUGAAGUAGCUGGCACCAUGUGAUUUAAGAUUUUUAAGCAGCUUACAGGAGAUGUAAAAUCAAGGAAAGUGUCCUUUGAAAUGCAGGCAUUGAGUGUGUUUGGCCCUUUGUAAAGGUUCCCAGGCCAUCUGGACAACAAAUAAUGAAGUCUGUAGAAUGGCAGUUGAAUACUUACGUUUAGUUUUAAAAAUUGUGUAUGUGGCAUAUCCCACAAAUCUUACUGCUAGAAUGUCUUUAUCCUGUUUUGUGACUGCUCCAUUGCCCACUACCCCAGUUCAUCACUUUGGCAACAAAUUACUGCAGGGUCUACAUGCAUCACCUCAUUACAUGCAGCACUGCUGCUCCCAGCUGGCAUCCAUCCAUGCCAGAAAACUGAAACCCAAUUUAGACAUGUCUUUCCCAGCUGUGGUUAUGUAUUUGACUGCCUUGUGAGUCUAUGAAUGAUAUUGAAAUACCUUUAGUUUCAAAGCCUGGGCCCCAGAUAGUUAAUUCUUACUUCUACGUUAGUUAGAAGUAAGAAAAUGUGUUUGCUUGUUCAGUAUAUGGUAAUUUUGCUGUCUUACAAAAAUAGGAAGAAAUUUUUUGUGCCUAUUUUCAUAAUUGUCAUGAGUGAAAAUAUUCACCUGAAUUAGUUUAGUUCAAUAGAACACUUCAGCUUCAAAUAGCACAGGAAAGCAUGGACAAUAGAAGUUGAUGUCUUUGAUGUUGCAUGAGCUUUUUUGUGAGAUAAUCUUGGUAGAAAACGAUUUCAGUGUUUUUGACACUGUCAAAAAUCAGGCCUUUAUAGCUCAAUGGAACUGAAAAAAAAAAAGAAUUUGUUUCUAUACUUGCCUUUCUACAUUUAAUUUUUUCUUUCUUUCAUCUCUCUUUGCAGCUCAAGGGAGUAAAUCCUUCCAUGUUUCAAGCUGGCACAGCUCCACAAAACAGUUGUGCCAAUUAUUUCUAGCCAGGGAAAUAAUACUUACCACUAGGUGUAAAGCUGCUUGUACUGAAGCUGUUGAAAUUACUAUCAUUAUGUUAUUUCUUGCCAUGGAAAGGAAAAAGAUGAGUGAGUGUUUGGGGGGCUUUGUUUAAGUGCAACAGGCCGCUUAUUCAUGCAAACUGCUGAAAGCCACCGGGAAGUAAGCACAGUGCGGAGGGUGAACUUCUUGGAAAACCAGAUCUUAUAUUUAACUUGGUAAGGAGACAAAGACAUUUCUUAAUGAAACCUAAAAAUCUCCAGAUCUGCCAGUUCCUUCAGAAAGGAAAAGCCUUUCUCAAUGUGUUAGAUUAACACUGCAGUACUUAUUGUGCUGUUGCUUUUAUGACUCUUACAGAAAUCUUUCCCACACCUCCUGCAGGAGCUACUUGUGUAGUGCCAGUUCUCAGAAAAACCAUCACAUGGUUUUCCUCCACCUGAAAAACGAUUUUGAAUAUUUGUUUUGUUUCACGUGGUCUGUAAUGCUAUUCACACUCAGUUCCUGAAGCUGGGAGAAGAACUCUUCUUCAGAAAAAAAAUUAGAGGGGUCUGAAGGAAACUUUAAGUGGUUUGAAGAGCUUAAACUGGAUGUAGGUUGGGGUACACAACAUUGUCCCCCUCUCACGCAGCAGGGCUCCUGCAGCUGCAUAUACUGGGCCAAGUGGCAUAUCAGUACUUCAUAGCCAGUGUUACAUUUGGUCUAGAUGUUGUAUUGCAACCAGGUCAACACAGCACCUCUUCUGAAGAUGGUAUUUCUUCACACGCUUACAGCAAAGCUCCAGCACAGCCAGGGAGUUGCACUGAGGCUCUGGUGCAGGUACUGCCUCAGGCUGCCUGAGACCUGCCCAAACAUAGGGCCAGGAGCCACACUGCACACCCCUGGCACCGCUCUGGCUUUGCCAUCAGAGACAGGACCACACUCACACAUUCAUUAUACUUCAUUCUUCAUGACACAGCACAGCCCUUCGCAGUCCACGAUAUGGUAUGGUGGGCACAGUCUUAUUUGGUCCAAGGGUGGACUUGAUCAUCUCGAAGGGCUUUUUCAACUUUAAUGAUUCGACGAUUUCUGUAUUUUCUCUUUGGACCGUGACCCGAAGCAGCGAGGAAUGUGUCAUGGGGCCUCACCGCGGUGUGAGGGGAGCCACUGCCAGCACGGCUCCAGAGCGGUGUGAGGGGAGCCACUGCCAGCGCGGCCUCACCGCGGUGUGAGGGGAGCCACUGCCAGCACGGCCU